GACGAACGCUGGCGGCGUGCUUAACACAUGCAAGUCGAACGAUGAACCCGGAGCUUGCUCCGGUGGAUUAGUGGCGAACGGGUGAGUAACACGUGAGUAACCUGCCCUUGACCCUGGGAUAACUGCGGGAAACUGUAGCUAAUACCGGAUACGACCCUCGGCGGCAUCGCCAGGGGGUGGAAAGAAUUUCGGUCAAGGAUGGACUCGCGGCCUAUCAGCUAGUUGGUGAGGGAACGGCUCACCAAGGCGACGACGGGUAGCCGGCCUGAGAGGGUGACCGGCCACACUGGGACUGAGACACGGCCCAGACUCCUACGGGAGGCAGCAGUGGGGAAUAUUGCACAAUGGGCGCAAGCCUGAUGCAGCAACGCCGCGUGAGGGAUGACGGCCUUCGGGUUGUAAACCUCUUUUACGUGGAAUGAGAGUUCCACGAGAAUAAGUAACUGCUAACUCUGUGCCAGCCGCCGCAGUAA
RNAcentral lists this ribosomal RNA (473 nucleotides) under uncultured bacterium. Its description in RNAcentral is "partial 16S ribosomal RNA". It matches the Rfam family "Bacterial small subunit ribosomal RNA", at positions 28 to 523 of the family's 1533-position model. The record is from RNAcentral.